GGUCCUGAGGUGUAGCGGUUGCAUGCUUUCUUAGGGAAAUACUCUUCCUGAGAUACUGGAAGAGGUGCCUGGUUCGACUCCUGGCUGGACCC
Microstroma glucosiphilum is the source of this 92-nucleotide non-coding RNA. Lineage: Eukaryota; Fungi; Basidiomycota; Exobasidiomycetes; Microstromatales; Microstromataceae. The record is from the annotation of a RefSeq genome assembly.